UUUUUUUUUUUUCUUUUUUGCCACACAGGCAGUAUGUGGAAGUUCCUGGGCCAGGGAUUGAAUCUACACCACAUAGCAGCAACCAGAGCCACAGCAGUGAGAAUGCAGGAGCCUCAGUCCGCUAGGCCAUCAGAGAACCCCAACUGUAUUAUUUUUAAUGGAACUUAAUAUACAUCGACAGAAGACUAACUAAAUUAUGAUAAUCCAAACAGGCAAACAAAAUACAUCCAUUAAGAUAAUGAAUGAUUUUAACUUCCUUUUUGCUUAUUGUCUCUUUUCUGGUUUUCACUCGAAGAAAUCAUGCAUUUCUUAUGUAAAUUUUUACAUUAAUAAGCAAUUUUUUGGGCCACUCCCAGAGGCAUGCUAAAGUUCCUGGGCCAGGGAUUGAACACACACCACAGCAGCGACCCAAGCCAUUGCAGUGACAAUGCUGGAUCCUUAACCCACUGAGUCAUAUGGUAAUUCCUAACAAAUACUUUUAUAUGAUAAAAAGAUAAUUAUAAAAAUAAUUAUAAAAAUUAAAAGGGAGGAGUUCCCAUUGUGGCUCCAUGGAAAUGAAUGUGACUAGCAUCCAUGAAGACGUGGGUUCGAUUCCUGGCCUUGCUCAGUAGGUUAGGGAUCUGGCAUUGCUGUGAGCUGUGGUGUAGGUCACAAACACGGCUGGGUCCCACAUUGCUCUGGCUGUAGCAUAGGCCGGCAGUUGCAGCUCUGGUUCAACUCCUAGCCUGGGAACUUCCAUAUGCUGCAUCUGCAGCCCUAAAAAGACAAAAUAAACAAAUAAAAGGGGAAUUAGAGAAGUCUAAUGAGCAAGAACUAAUAUAUUUACUAUUUAAAGAACCUAUUCUAUUCACAAGAAAAACACUAAAAUUCUAGUAAUAAUGAACAAAAGAAAAAUAAAAGGAAACAAGCCUAUAAGAAAAAGUCUCAAUAAUCAAAUAAGUGGAAAACAAGACACCAAGCUUAUCCUUUCAUUAGAGUGGAAAAGGGUUUUUGUAAAGGGUUUUUUUUUGUCCUUUUGCCUUUUCUAGGGCCACUCCCACAGCAUAUGGAGGUUCCCAAGCUAGGGGUCUAACUGGAGCUAGUCGGAUUCAUUAACCACUGAGCCACAAUGGGAACUCCCAAAAAUGUUUUUGUUUUGUUUUUUUGUUUUUUAAAUAUAUAUAGGAGUCCCCAUUGUGACGCAGCGGAAAUGAAUCUGACUAGUAACCACGAGGUUGCCGGUUUGAUCCCUGGCCUUGCUCAGUGGGUUAAGGAUCUGGUGUUGCCAUGAGCUGUGGUGUAGGUCACAGAAGUAGCUUGGUUUCUGCGUUGCUGUGACCAUGGCGUAGGCCAGCAGCUGUAGCUCUGAUUACACCCCUAGCCUGGGAACCUCCAUAUGCCUCGGGGGAGACCCUAAAAAGCAAAAAAAAAAAAAAUUAUAUAUACACACACACACACAAUAUUAAUAGAAUAUGGAAUAACAGGCAUUCUCAAAUCCCAUCAAACUAUUUAAUCCAGCAUUUUCUCUUCUAGGACUCUAGCCAAAAAUACUCCUAACUAUGAAAACAACUUUUCAGCAGAACAUCCUUUACAAUGUUCCUUGUAAAGGAAAAUAAUGGAACUACAGUAGAAUAUUACUUGAGGAUUUAAACACUAGAAGAAUCCAAACACUGCUGAUCCUUUUCAGAAAGAUUUUAUCCAUUUUGAUACCGAAUGACUUACUAGAAUGCAAGGCAUGUAGUGGUGUGAAUAACUGCCAGGCCAACUCGUGGAAUCCUGAAAAGGUUGGUACCAGUGACAGGAACACAUUCAAAAGGACUGCCAGAGGCUAUUUUACGUUGUGAAAACAUCAUUCUUUUCAUAGGAUAAAGGUUAUUUACCCCCAAAAAGAGGAUAUUCCAGAUAGGAAAACUUAAGGAAGUGCAUGAAAGAGCAAGCAGAGGAUGACACAGAUCCUUUACACAAAGAGUUGUUGCACCAUUUACUAUUUCAAUGUCUGCAGAAGCUUACCACAAACCCUGGUGCAUUCCUGACAUUCCUAGAUGCAGAAUCAUACACAUCUCAAAAGAAAUAAACUUUGUACAUAUUAAUUUGCAAUGCAUGAUGCUGUUAGGCCAUUUUAAGGAAAUAAGUCUCAUUUCUACUAGAAUAACUAAUUAGAAAAUACCUAAUUAUCUUAGAUUCCUUUUGAAAUAGGCAGAAUUAAAUAAAAAUUGAGAAAAGAAUUAAAUGAGGCAGUAUAAAUUUAUCCAUGGCAGAGGUGGGGGACCACAAAAAUAUUAAUAGUUCAUUCAUUCAAAUUCAUCAACACAUAUAAAUUGAACACCUGUUACAUACUAGGCACUGUGUUCAUGUUGAGAAAUAUAAAUUGGUCAGGGUCACUGUUAUUCUGGAACUUACAUUCUAGGAGGGGUGAAAGACCAAUUCUCAAAUAAGGGUAUGUGUGGCAGUGACCUCCCCCGCCAUCCGCAACUUUUCCCCUUGUUUUUCUUCUAUUUACUAUCAACUAUUCUCAUGAAUGUGCACUUUAAAAAUACUCAUUUUUGGAGUCCCCGUCGUGGCUCAGGGGUUAACGAAUCCAACUAGGAACCAUGAGGUUGUGGGUUCGAUCCCUGGCCUUGCUCAGUGGGUAAAGCAUCCGGCAUUGCCCGUGAGCUGUGGUGUAGUUUGCAGAUGCGGCUCAGAUCCCGCGUUGCUGUGGCUGUGGCAUAGGCCAGCGGCCAGUGGCUACAGCUCCGAUCAGACUCCUAGGCUGGGAACCUCCUUAUGCUGCGGGAGCGGCUCAAGAAAAAAAAAAAAAAAAAAAAAAAGAG
Molecule: long non-coding RNA, 2792 nt
Filed under: Sus scrofa (pig)
Lineage: Eukaryota; Metazoa; Chordata; Mammalia; Artiodactyla; Suidae
Description: lncRNA (ENSSSCG00015073114.1)
Source: RNAcentral